GUUUGAUCCUGGCUCAGGAUGAACGCUGGCGGCGUGCUUAACACAUGCAAGUCGAACGGUGAAGCAGAGCUUGCUCUGUGGAUCAGUGGCGAACGGGUGAGUAACACGUGAGCAACCUGCCCCGGACUCUGGGAUAACAGUUGGAAACAGCUGCUAAUACCGGAUACGAGCCGUGAUCGCAUGGUCAACGGUUGGAAAGAAUUUCGGUCUGGGAUGGGCUCGCGGCCUAUCAGCUUGUUGGUGAGGUAACGGCUCACCAAGGCGUCGACGGGUAGCCGGCCUGAGAGGGUGACCGGCCACACUGGGACUGAGACACGGCCCAGACUCCUACGGGAGGCAGCAGUGGGGAAUAUUGCACAAUGGGCGAAAGCCUGAUGCAGCAACGCCGCGUGAGGGACGACGGCCUUCGGGUUGUAAACCUCUUUUAGCAGGGAAGAAGCGAAAGUGACGGUACCUGCAGAAAAAGCGCCGGCUAACUACGUGCCAGCAGCCGCGGUAAUACGUAGGGCGCAAGCGUUAUCCGGAAUUAUUGGGCGUAAAGAGCUCGUAGGCGGUCUGUCGCGUCUGCUGUGAAAACCCGAGGCUCAACCUCGGGCCUGCAGUGGGUACGGGCAGACUAGAGUGCGGUAGGGGAGAUUGGAAUUCCUGGUGUAGCGGUGGAAUGCGCAGAUAUCAGGAGGAACACCGAUGGCGAAGGCAGAUCUCUGGGCCGUAACUGACGCUGAGGAGCGAAAGGGUGGGGAGCAAACAGGCUUAGAUACCCUGGUAGUCCACCCCGUAAACGUUGGGUUUCUAGUUGUGGGGACCAUUCCACGGUUUCCGUGACGCAGCUAACGCAU
RNAcentral lists this ribosomal RNA (839 nucleotides) under Microbacterium wangchenii. RNAcentral describes it as "bacterial SSU rRNA". It matches the Rfam family "Bacterial small subunit ribosomal RNA", at positions 11 to 860 of the family's 1533-position model. The record is from RNAcentral. Lineage: Bacteria; Bacillati; Actinomycetota; Actinomycetes; Micrococcales; Microbacteriaceae.